This 940-nucleotide ribosomal RNA is filed under the name Medeolaria farlowii. Its description in RNAcentral is "LSU rRNA". It matches the Rfam family "Eukaryotic large subunit ribosomal RNA", at positions 22 to 979 of the family's 3401-position model. Lineage: Eukaryota; Fungi; Ascomycota; Leotiomycetes; Medeolariales; Medeolariaceae. The record is from RNAcentral.
UACCCGCUGAACUUAAGCAUAUCAAUAAGCGGAGGAAAAGAAACCAACCGGGAUUACCUUAGUAACGGCGAGUGAAGCGGUAACAGCUCAAAUUUGAAAUCUGGGCCCUGCGGGCCCCGAGUUGUAAUUUGUAGAAGAUGCUUCGGGUGUGGCACUGGUCCAAGUUCCUUGGAACAGGACGUCAUAGAGGGUGAGAAUCCCGUACAUGACCGGUAGCCUGCACCCAUGUGAAGCUCUUUCAACGAGUCGAGUUGUUUGGGAAUGCAGCUCUAAGUGGGUGGUAAAUUUCAUCUAAAGCUAAAUAUGGGCCAGAGACCGAUAGCGCACAAGUAGAGUGAUCGAAAGAUGAAAAGCACUUUGGAAAGAGAGUUAAAUAGUACGUGAAAUUGUUGGAAGGGAAGCGCUUGCAGCCAGACUUGCGUGGGGUCGAUCAUCCGGUGCUCUCACUGGUGCACUCGGCUCUACUCAGGCCAGCAUCGGUUCUGGCGGCUGGAGAAAGGCCUGGGGAAUGUGGCUCCCCCUGGGGAGUGUUAUAGCCCUAGGUGUCAUGCAGCCUGCUGGGACCGAGGACCGCGCCCUGGCUAGGAUGCUGGCGUAAUGGCUGUAAGCGGCCCGUCUUGAAACACGGACCAAGGAGUCUAACAUCUGUGCGAGUGUUUGGGUGUCAAACCCAGGCGCGUAAUGAAAGUGAACGGAGGUGAGAGCCCUGCGGGGUGCAUCAUCGACCGAUCCUGAUGUCUUCGGAUGGAUUUGAGUAGGAGCAUGGCUGUUGGGACCCGAAAGAUGGUGAACUAUCCUUGAAUAGGGUGAAGCCAGAGGAAACUCUGGUGGAGGCUCGCAGCGGUUCUGACGUGCAAAUCGAUCGUCAAAUUUGGGGAUAGGGGCGAAAGACUAAUCGAACCAUCUAGUAGCUGGUUCCUGCCGAAGUUUCCCUCAGGAA